AGCAGCCGCGGUAAUUCCAGCUCCAAUAGCGUAUAUUAAAGUUGUUGCAGUUAAAAAGCUCGUAGUUGAAUUUCGGGGUUCUACCGUUGGUCGGGCUUUGUCUGUACUGGCGUGUAGAAUUUCUACCUUCUGGGGAACCAUCAUGUUAUUAAUUUAACGUGGUGGGAAACCAGGACUGUUACUUUGAAAAAAUUAGAGUGUUUAAAGCGGGCACGCGCUUGAAUACAUUAGCAUGGAAUAACGAAAUAGGACGUUCGAUCUUAUUUUGUUGGUUUCUAGGAUUGACGUAAUGAUUAAUAGGGAUAAUUGGGGGCAUAAGUAUUCAAUUGUCAGAGGUGAAAUUCUUGGAUUUAU
Molecule: ribosomal RNA, 354 nt
Filed under: uncultured Racocetraceae
Lineage: Eukaryota; Fungi; Glomeromycota; Glomeromycetes; Diversisporales; Gigasporaceae
Description: bacterial SSU rRNA
Rfam family: Eukaryotic small subunit ribosomal RNA
Source: RNAcentral